AUGAUUAUUUAAAAUUAAAAUAACGAAUUUAAUGCUAAAAUAAAUACACAAUGAAAAUAAUAUAAAUAAUAAAUAAGUAAUAACAUAUAAGAUAUACGUGCCAGGUUAUAAUAAUAUUUAUAAUAAUUAUUCAAAGAUAUAGACUUAUACUAGUUCUAAAAGAAAAUCUGUGGUAGGCCUUUAAACUUUUAUUAAAGCGGUAGGUAGUUAAGGGCGGUCGGUACUACGCAAUAGGAGUGGGAUUCAUUGCCGAUGUUGGUCUUCCAUUUUUAUCAAUGAACUUUUAAAUCGAUUGAUACGGUUUGUAGCAUCAUAAAGUUUUUUUGUUGUUUUUUUUAAAUAAAAAAAAUGUUUAUUAAAAACUUCUGUUCUUUAAAUCUGUAUAGAAUUUCUAGCAAAGGUAUUUAUAAUUGAAGUGUGGAAUUGUAGGGAUACAAUAUUUAAUCCUAUUUUUUGUAGUAACGUCUGUAAUCUAUAGAUUCUAUAAGGUAAGAUAAUGGUUAAAGUAAUGAAUAGCGUGGACGGUUGGAGACCGCUGAUUCAGUGCAAUUAGGCCUAUGCUUAAAAUAGAGUAAACGUUCUAAUGUAUUUUACAACUUCUACAAUUAGAUUACAAAAAAGGUGACUGGACACUGGGUGGACGGUAUUUCGAAAACGAUACUAACGAUUGUCUUAGAGAUUUGACAUUUUAUGUUUAUAUUUGAAUAAAAAACUACCUUAUUUUCUACACAGUGUUAACUCAGUUUUUUUUUCAAAUAUCAUUAUCUUACAAUAAUUUGGUUUUAUAUUUUGAGCACGACUUCAGCAGGAAUUCCCACACUCAACUCAAAUGUUUUUUUUUUUUU
Molecule: non-coding RNA, 845 nt
Organism: Biomphalaria pfeifferi
Lineage: Eukaryota; Metazoa; Mollusca; Gastropoda; Planorbidae
Source: the annotation of a GenBank genome assembly